RNAcentral lists this unclassified non-coding RNA (299 nucleotides) under Agrobacterium rubi. Its description in RNAcentral is "partial ribonuclease P RNA". It matches the Rfam family "Bacterial RNase P class A", at positions 62 to 325 of the family's 367-position model. Rfam says of the family: Ribonuclease P (RNase P) is a ubiquitous endoribonuclease, found in archaea, bacteria and eukarya as well as chloroplasts and mitochondria. Its best characterised activity is the generation of mature 5'-ends of tRNAs by cleaving the 5'-leader elements of precursor-tRNAs. Cellular RNase Ps are ribonucleoproteins. Lineage: Bacteria; Pseudomonadati; Pseudomonadota; Alphaproteobacteria; Hyphomicrobiales; Rhizobiaceae. The record is from RNAcentral.
CAGAAACACGGUGCCGGAUAACGUCCGGCGGGGGCGACCCUAGGGAAAGUGCCGCAGAGAGUAGACCGCCACUUUUAUAGUGGUAAGGGUGAAAGGGUGGGGUAAGAGCCCACCGCGCCGCUGGUAACAGGGGUGGCAUGGUAAACCCCACCGGGAGCAAGACCGAAUAGGGAUAACGCGGGAUGCGCGCAAGCGUAUCUACAGCCGGUUUUUGGGCGAGUUAUCCGGGUGGGUUGCGAGAGGCGGCGUGCAAAUGCCGUCCCAGAUGAAUGGCUGCCACGUUCCGGGUCAAACCGGGG